AGAGUUUGAUCCUGGCUCAGAUUGAACGCUGGCGGCAUGCUUUACACAUGCAAGUCGAACGGCAGCACGGGGGCAACCCUGGUGGCGAGUGGCGAACGGGUGAGUAAUACAUCGGAACGUGUCCUGAAGUGGGGGAUAACCUGGCGAAAGCCAGGCUAAUACCGCAUAAGCUCGUGAGAGGAAAGCGGGGGCUCGCAAGACCUCGCGCUACAGGAGCGGCCGAUGUCCGAUUAGCUAGUAGGUAGGGUAAAGGCCUACCUAGGCGACGAUCGGUAGCUGGUCUGAGAGGAUGAUCAGCCACACUGGGACUGAGACACGGCCCAGACUCCUACGGGAGGCAGCAGUGGGGAAUUUUGGACAAUGGGGGCAACCCUGAUCCAGCCAUGCCGCGUGAGUGAAGAAGGCCUUCGGGUUGUAAAGCUCUUUCGGUGGGAACGAAACGGGUGGUGCUAAUACCACUACUCAAUGACGGUACUCACAGAAGAAGCACCGGCUAACUACGUGCCAGCAGCCGCGGUAAUACGUAGGGUGCGAGCGUUAAUCGGAAUUACUGGGCGUAAAGCGUGCGUAGGCGGUUUUUCAAGCUCGAUGUGAAAGCCCCGGGCUUAACCUGGGAAUGGCAUUGAGGACUGGAAGGCUUGAGUGCGGCAGAGGGAGGUGGAAUUCCACGUGUAGCAGUGAAAUGCGUAGAGAUGUGGAGGAACACCGAUGGCGAAGGCAGCCUCCUGGGCCGACACUGACGCUGAUGCACGAAAGCGUGGGGAGCAAACAGGAUUAGAUACCCUGGUAGUCCACGCCCUAAACGAUGUCAACUGGUUGUUGGGGAAGGCAACUUCCUUAGUAACGAAGCUAACGCGUGAAGUUGACCGCCUGGGGAGUACGGCCGCAAGGUUAAAACUCAAA
Molecule: ribosomal RNA, 903 nt
Filed under: uncultured bacterium
Lineage: Bacteria
Description: bacterial SSU rRNA
Rfam family: Bacterial small subunit ribosomal RNA
Source: RNAcentral